AGGGUUAUGGCUCAGUGGUAGAGUGCUUGCCUAGCAUGCAUGAGGCACUGGGUUUGAUCUCUGGCACUG
This 69-nucleotide transfer RNA is filed under the name Marmota monax (woodchuck). RNAcentral's name for it is "tRNA.Ala". Lineage: Eukaryota; Metazoa; Chordata; Mammalia; Rodentia; Sciuridae. The record is from RNAcentral.